Molecule: ribosomal RNA, 351 nt
Filed under: Triticum aestivum (bread wheat)
Lineage: Eukaryota; Viridiplantae; Streptophyta; Magnoliopsida; Poales; Poaceae
Description: partial small subunit ribosomal RNA
Source: RNAcentral
AUGGUCAUGGUUGUGCUACAGAUAACAUUGAUUUUUAAAAUGCUUCGAUUACACGUCAAAGGAAUCGCGAAAAACCAAGUUGUCGUCUAUGAUCCGAUCAGGAAAUGGAUGGACAACUGCUACCGCGGGGUACCCCUUGGCGGUUUAGGAAGCAUAGGGAGAAGCUACCGAGGGUACUUUCAGCAGUUUCAAAUAUUCCCCAGGAUCUAUGAAGAGAAGCCUGUCCUUGCCAACCAGUUCCAAGCAUUCAUCUCGCAUCCUGGUGGGAAGAGCUACUCGACGGCGUUGAAACUCAUAUGCUGCUAUUUUUGUCAGGCUCGCCUUUUCGAUGCGCAAAAUGAUGAGGGAUAA